UGCAGUCGAACGAGAAAGUUCCUUCGGGAGCAAUUAAAGUGGCGCACGGGUGAGUAACGCGUAGACAAUCUGCCCUUCAGUCUGGGACAACUUUUCGAAAGGAGAGCUAAUACCGGAUAACAAUGCAUGACACAAGUUGUAUAUUUGAAAGCUUUAUGUGCUGAAGGAGGGGUCUGCGUCCCAUUAGCUAGUUGGUAAGGUAAAGGCUUACCAAGGCAACGAUGGGUAGCGGGUUUGAGAGGACGAUCCGCCACACUGGAACUGAGACACGGUCCAGACUCCUACGGGAGGCAGCAGUGGGGAAUAUUGCACAAUGGAGGAAACUCUGAUGCAGCAAUGUCGCGUGAGUGAAGAAGGCCCUUGGGUCGUAAAGCUCUUUUAUGGGGGAAGAUGAUGACGGUACCCCAAGAAUAAGCACCGGCUAACUAUGUGCCAGCAGCCGCGGUAAUACAUAGGGUGCGAGCGUUGUUCGGAAUUACUGGGCGUAAAGGGCGCGCAGGCGGAAUAGUAAGUCGGAGGUGAAAGCCCGGGGCUCAACCCCGGAGGGUCUUUCGAAACUACUAAUCUAGAGAGGGUCAGGGGCCGGCAGAAUUCCUGGUGUAGAGGUGAAAUUCGUAGAUAUCAGGAGGAAUACCGGUGGCGAAGGCGGCCGGCUGGGACCACUCUGACGCUGAGGCGCGAAAGCGUGGGGAGCAAACAGGAUUAGAUACCCUGGUAGUCCACGCCGUAAACGAUGAGCACUGGACGUCCGGAGGGUUCGACCCUUCUGGGUGUCUCAGCUAACGCAUUAAGUGCUCC
This 798-nucleotide ribosomal RNA is filed under the name delta proteobacterium SCGC AAA003-F06. RNAcentral's name for it is "SSU rRNA". It matches the Rfam family "Bacterial small subunit ribosomal RNA", at positions 56 to 870 of the family's 1533-position model. The record is from RNAcentral. Lineage: Bacteria; Deltaproteobacteria.